CCAGACUCCUACGGGAGGCAGCAGUGGGGGAUAUUGCACAAUGGGGGGAACCCUGAUGCAGCGACGCCGCGUGGGUGAAGAAGCGCCUCGGCGCGUAAAGCCCUGUCAGCAGGGAAGAAAAUGACGGUACCUGAAGAAGAAGCCCCGGCUAACUACGUGCCAGCAGCCGCGGUAAUACGUAGGGGGCAAGCGUUAUCCGGAUUUACUGGGUGUAAAGGGAGCGUAGACGGCAGCACAAGUCUGGAGUGAAAUGCCGGGGCUUAACCCCGGAACUGCUUUGGAAACUGUGCAGCUAGAGUGCCGGAGAGGUAAGUGGAAUUCCUAGUGUAGCGGUGAAAUGCGUAGAUAUUAGGAGGAACACCAGUGGCGAAGGCGGCUUACUGGACUGUAACUGACGUUGAGGCUCGAAAGCGUGGGGAGCAAACAGGAUUAGAUACCCCUGUAG
This 445-nucleotide ribosomal RNA is filed under the name uncultured bacterium. RNAcentral describes it as "bacterial SSU rRNA". It matches the Rfam family "Bacterial small subunit ribosomal RNA", at positions 331 to 793 of the family's 1533-position model. The record is from RNAcentral.